AGGUAAGUUGCGUGAAGGUAGAGCACUGAAUAUGUGAUGGCCCCAUCUCGGGGUACUGAGCAUAAUCAAACUGCGAAUGUCACGCCAACAUGCUCGGCAGUCAGACAGCGGGUGAUAAGGUCCGUUGUCAAGAGGGAAACAGCCCAGACCAUCAGCUAAGGUCCCAAAAUGUAUGCUAAGUGGAAAAGGAUGUGGAGAUGUACAGACAACUAGGAGGUUGGCUCAGAAGCAGCCAUCCUUUAAAGAGUGCGUAACAGCUCACUAGUCGAAUGACUCUGCGCCGAUAAUUUACCGGGGCUAAGCAUACUACCGAAGCUAUGGAUCCCAAGGGAUGGUAGGGGAGCGUUCCAUGAACGGAGAAGUACGACCGAAAGGACGUGUGGAGAUCAUGGAAGAGAGAAUGCCGGUGUGAGUAGCGGAACGUGGGUGAGAAUCCCACGCACCGAAAACCCAAGGUUUCCAGAGGAAGGUUCGUCCGCUCUGGGUAAGUCGGGACCUAAGGCGAGGCCGAAAGGCGUAGUCGAUGGACAACAGGUAGAGAUUCCUGUACCCGUAUAUAUGUGAAGGAAUGACGGAGAGAGGAAGCUGCAGCCAGCGGCUGGAAGAGCUGGUGCAAGCGAGAUAUCGGGAUGGCAGGCAAAUCCACCAUCCGAAACGAGAAGGCGUGAAGCGUACGGAAAGCUACGGCGAGUACGGAAGGCAGUGGAGGAACUUCCAAGAAAAGUUUCUAACGUUAAGUAUAUAUGGCCCGUACCGAAAAUGGACACACAUGGGUGAGGAGAGAAUCCUAAGGUGAGCGAGAGAACUAUAGCUAAGGAACUCUGCAAAAUGACUCCGUAACUUAGGGAGAAGGAGUGCUCAUAGAGAUAUGAGCCGCAGUGAAACGGCCCAAGCGACUGUUUACCAAAAACACAGCUCUCUGCUAAGCCGCAAGGCGAAGUAUAGGGGGUGACGCCUGCCCGGUGCUGGAAGGUUAAGGGGAGGGGUUAACGCAAGUGAAGCCCUGAACUGAAGCCCCAGUAAACGGCGGCCGUAACUAUAACGGUCCUAAGGUAGCGAAAUUCCUUGUCAGGUAAGUUCUGACCCGCACGAAAGGCGUAACGAUUUGGGCGCUGUCUCAGCUGUAGACUCGGUGAAGUCUUAGUACCUGUGAAGAUGCAGGUUACCCGCGACUAGACGGAAAGACCCCAUGGAGCUUUACUGCAGGUUGAUAUUGGGAUUUGAUGCAGCAUGUACAGGAUAGGUAGGAGGCAAAGAGAUGGAUACGCCAGUAUUCAAGGAGCCGCUGUUGGGAUACUACCCCUGUUGUAUUGGAUUUCUAACCGGACGACGUAGAGCCGUUGACGGGACAGUGUCAGUCGGGCAGUUUGACUGGGGCGGUCGCCUCCCAAAGAGUAACGGAGGCGCCCAAAGAUACCCUCAGCUUGGAUGGAAACCAAGCGCAGAGUGCAAAGGCAAAAGGGUGUUUGACUGCGAGACCCACAAGUCGAGCAGGGACGAAAGUCGGGCUUAGUGAUCCG
RNAcentral lists this ribosomal RNA (1520 nucleotides) under human gut metagenome. Its description in RNAcentral is "bacterial LSU rRNA". It matches the Rfam family "Bacterial large subunit ribosomal RNA", at positions 885 to 2422 of the family's 2925-position model. The record is from RNAcentral.